This 468-nucleotide ribosomal RNA is filed under the name uncultured bacterium. RNAcentral's name for it is "partial 16S ribosomal RNA". It matches the Rfam family "Bacterial small subunit ribosomal RNA", at positions 28 to 507 of the family's 1533-position model. The record is from RNAcentral.
GACGAACGCUGGCGGCGUGCUUAACACAUGCAAGUCGAACGGAAAGGCCCUGCUUUUGUGGUGUGCUCGAGUGGCUAACGGGUGAGUAACACGUGAGUAACCUGCCCUUGACUUUGGGAUAACUUCAGGAAACUGGGGCUAAUAACGGAUAGGAGCGCCUGCUUCAUGGCGGGGGGUGGAAAGGUUCGGCGGUUGGGGAUGGACUCGGGGCUUAUCAGCUUGUUGGUGGGGUAGUGGAUUACCAAGGAUUUGACGGGUAGCCGGCCUGAGAGGGUGACCGGCCACAUUGGGACAGAGAUACGGGCAGGACUGCUACGGGCGGCAGAAGUGGGGAAUAUUGGACGAUGGGCGGAAGGCUGAUGCAGGAACGCCGCGUGCGGGAUGACGGCCUUCGGGGUGUAAACCGCUUUCGCCUGUGACGGAGCGUGAGUGACGGUAAUGGGUUAAGAAGCAACGGCUAACUACGUG